CAGCAGCCGCCGCGGGAAAACAGAGGGUGCGAGCGUUAAUCGGAUUUACUGGGCGUAAAGCGUGCGUAGGCGGCUUCUUAAGUCGGAUGUGAAAUCCCUGAGCUUAACUUAGGAAUUGCAUUCGAUACUGGGAAGCUAGAGUAUGGGAGAGGAUGGUAGAAUUCCAGGUGUAGCGGUGAAAUGCGUAGAGAUCUGGAGGAAUACCGAUGGCGAAGGCAGCCAUCUGGCCUAAUACUGACGCUGAGGUACGAAAGCAUGGGGAGCAAACAGGAUUAGAUACCCCAGUAGUCCCUGUCUCUUAUAC
Molecule: ribosomal RNA, 304 nt
Filed under: uncultured bacterium
Lineage: Bacteria
Description: partial 16S ribosomal RNA
Rfam family: Bacterial small subunit ribosomal RNA
Source: RNAcentral